RNAcentral lists this ribosomal RNA (398 nucleotides) under uncultured bacterium. RNAcentral's name for it is "partial 16S ribosomal RNA". It matches the Rfam family "Bacterial small subunit ribosomal RNA", at positions 523 to 918 of the family's 1533-position model. The record is from RNAcentral.
AUACGUAGGGUGCGAGCGUUGUCCGGAAUUACUGGGCGUAAAGAGCUCGUAGGUGGUUUGUCGCGUCGUCUGUGAAAUUCCGGGGCUUAACUCCGGGCGUGCAGGCGAUACGGGCAUAACUUGAGUACUGUAGGGGAGACUGGAAUUCCUGGUGUAGCGGUGAAAUGCGCAGAUAUCAGGAGGAACACCGGUGGCGAAGGCGGGUCUCUGAUCAGUAAUGGACGGUGAGGAUCGAAAUCAUGGGUAGCGAACAGGAUUAGCUACCCUGUUAGUCCAUGCCGUAAGCGGUGGGCGCUAGGUGUAGGGGUCUUCCACGACUUCUGUGCCGUAGCUAACGCAUUAAGCGCCCCGCCUGGGGAGUACGGCCGCAAGGCUAAAACUCAAAUGAAUUGACGGGG